This 495-nucleotide ribosomal RNA is filed under the name uncultured bacterium. RNAcentral's name for it is "partial 16S ribosomal RNA". It matches the Rfam family "Bacterial small subunit ribosomal RNA", at positions 28 to 507 of the family's 1533-position model. The record is from RNAcentral.
GAUGAACGCUGGCGGCGUGCCUAAUACAUGCAAGUCGAACGCUGAAGGAGGAGCUUGCUCUUCUGGAUGAGUUGCGAACGGGUGAGUAACGCGUAGGUAACCUGCCUGGUAGCGGGGGAUAACUAUUGGAAACGAUAGCUAAUACCGCAUGACAACAGUUAUUGCAUGAUAACUGUUUAAAAGGGGCAACUGCUCCACUACCAGAUGGACCUGCGUUGUAUUAGCUAGUUGGUGAGGUAACGGCUCACCAAGGCGACGAUACAUAGCCGACCUGAGAGGGUGAUCGGCCACACUGGGACUGAGACACGGCCCAGACUCCUACGGGAGGCAGCAGUAGGGAAUCUUCGGCAAUGGACGGAAGUCUGACCGAGCAACGCCGCGGGAGUGAAGAAGGUUGUCGGAUCGUAAAGCUCUGUUGUAAGAGAAGAACGAGUGUGAGAGUGGAAAGUUCACACUGUGACGGUAGCUUACCAGAAAGGGACGGCUAACUACGUG